GAUGAAGAACGUAGCGAAACGCGAUAAGUAAUGUGAAUUGCAGAAUCCAGUGAAUCAUCGAAUCUUUGAACGCACAUUGCGCCCGCCAGCAUUCUGGCGGGCAUGCCUGUUCGAGCGUCAUUUCAACCCUCGACCUCCCCUUGGGGAGGUCGGCGUUGGGGACCGGCAGCACACCGCCGGCCCUGAAAUGGAGUGGCGGCCCGUCCGCGGCGACCUCUGCGCAGUAAUACAGCUCGCACCGGGACCCCGACGCGGCCACGCCGUAAAACACCCAACUUCUGAACGUUGACCUCGAAUCAGGAAGGACUACCCGCUGAACUUAAGCAUAUCAAUAAGCGGAGGA
Molecule: unclassified non-coding RNA, 343 nt
Filed under: soil metagenome
Description: partial contains 5.8S ribosomal RNA, internal transcribed spacer 2, and large subunit ribosomal RNA
Rfam family: 5.8S ribosomal RNA (bases 1-120)
Source: RNAcentral